Molecule: ribosomal RNA, 450 nt
Filed under: uncultured bacterium
Lineage: Bacteria
Description: partial 16S ribosomal RNA
Rfam family: Bacterial small subunit ribosomal RNA
Source: RNAcentral
GUGGGGAAUCUUCCGCAAUGGACGAAAGUCUGACGGAGCAACGCCGCGUGAGUGAAGAAGGUUUUCGGAUCGUAAAGCUCUUUCGUUAGGGACGAACGUGCUCUUUGUGAAUAAUGAGGAGUAAUGACGGUACCUAAAUAAGAAGCCACGGCUAACUACGUGCCAGCAGCCGCGGUAAUACGUAGGUGGCAAGCGUUGUCCGGAAUUAUUGGGCGUAAAGCGCGCGCAGGCGGGAUAUCAAGUCUGUCUUAAAAGUGCGAGGCUCAACCUCGUGAGGGGACAGAAACUGGUAUUCUUGAGUGUCGGAGAGGAAAGUGGAAUUCCAAGUGUAGUGGUGAAAUGCGUAGAGAUUUGGAAGAACACCAGUGGCGAAGGCGACUUUCUGGACGAUGUCUGACGCUGAGGCGCGAAAGCUAGGGGAGCGAACGGGAUUAGAUACCCUUGUAGUCC